UAAUGUAUGGGGAUCUGCCCGAUAGAGGGGGAUAACUACUGGAAACGGUGGCUAAUACCGCACAAUGUCUACGGACCAAAGCAGGGGCUCUUCGGACCUUGCACUAUCGGAUGAACCCAUAUGGGAUUAGCUAGUAGGUGGGGUAAAGGCUCACCUAGGCGACGAUCUCUAGCUGGUCUGAGAGGAUGAUCAGCCACACUGGGACUGAGACACGGCCCAG
RNAcentral lists this ribosomal RNA (220 nucleotides) under uncultured bacterium. Its description in RNAcentral is "partial 16S ribosomal RNA". It matches the Rfam family "Bacterial small subunit ribosomal RNA", at positions 111 to 334 of the family's 1533-position model. The record is from RNAcentral.